AGAAAUAGACUAAAGAUUAAGAGGGCUAAAAGAUGGAUUAAAGAGCUUAAUUAGUCUUGGUUAAUUUUAAACUCUGCGAAAGUAAAAUUUGAUUAAUCAAAGCACUCUUUGUCUCAGUCGAAAGAGAUUUCAAAGGAUUUGAGCAUCGAUCUCCUUGAAACACAUAAUUUCCAUAUAAACGGCUAACUAAUCAAAAUACCAAAAUAGCAUAACUAUGAACCUUUAACUUCGGAAUUGCCUUUUUACAAUCGUUACUUGACAUUUUACUUCGAAAGCUUAGUUUAAUCCAUUUGCAUUAAUUUUCAUCAUUAAUCUCUUAAUUUCUUCAUUUAGCAAAUUAUUGAAUUAAUAUUUGCUUGAAUUGAG
RNAcentral lists this unclassified non-coding RNA (366 nucleotides) under Hevea brasiliensis (rubber tree). The record is from RNAcentral. Lineage: Eukaryota; Viridiplantae; Streptophyta; Magnoliopsida; Malpighiales; Euphorbiaceae.